This 402-nucleotide long non-coding RNA is filed under the name Anser cygnoides (Swan goose). RNAcentral's name for it is "lncRNA (ENSACDG00005009077.1)". Lineage: Eukaryota; Metazoa; Chordata; Aves; Anseriformes; Anatidae. The record is from RNAcentral.
AUGCCCGUCCCCGCUCCCUACAAGAUGGCCGCCACCGCUGAGGAGACCGCCGGGGGGGGGUUGGGAGCGGGGCGGGGCGAACACCCCUCAGGGCGAUCGCGGGGCUACCGGGGAAGAGGGAGAGGUGGGGAGCGGGGUGGCAGCACCAUGGGGGAGCAGAUGUGGGACAGCGACAGCGACGAGACCGUGGUGGAGGGCUCGGUGGCGGAGAGCGAUGUGGAGGAAGAGGAGUUCCACAGGAGGAGAUGGAGUUUCCUCUCCAGAAAUCCACUUUAUCCAUAUAGCUCACGGUCGUAUGUAUGGACUAAAGGUAAAACAGGUAAAUCCAAAUGUACAGAAAUGAUACAUCUCCUUCUAUGCAUAUCUAGCUAUUAAUAAUUAAUAAAAUCACCGAGCCUGCCA